Molecule: ribosomal RNA, 343 nt
Filed under: Streptococcus mitis
Lineage: Bacteria; Bacillati; Bacillota; Bacilli; Lactobacillales; Streptococcaceae
Description: bacterial SSU rRNA
Rfam family: Bacterial small subunit ribosomal RNA
Source: RNAcentral
GACGAACGCUGGCGGCGUGCCUAAUACAUGCAAGUAGAACGCUGAAGGAGGAGCUUGCUUCUCUGGAUGAGUUGCGAACGGGUGAGUAACGCGUAGGUAACCUGCCUGGUAGCGGGGGAUAACUAUUGGAAACGAUAGCUAAUACCGCAUAAGAGUAGAUGUUGCAUGACAUUUGCUUAAAAGGUGCAAUUGCAUCACUACCAGAUGGACCUGCGUUGUAUUAGCUAGUUGGUGAGGUAACGGCUCACCAAGGCGACGAUACAUAGCCGACCUGAGAGGGUGAUCGGCCACACUGGGACUGAGACACGGCCCAGACUCCUACGGGAGGCAGCAGUAGGGAAUC